AUUGAACGCUGGCGGCAGGCCUAACACAUGCAAGUCGAGCGGAUGAAGGGAGCUUGCUCCUGGAUUCAGCGGCGGACGGGUGAGUAAUGCCUAGGAAUCUGCCUGGUAGUGGGGGAUAACGUCCGGAAACGGGCGCUAAUACCGCAUACGUCCUGAGGGAGAAAGUGGGGGAUCUUCGGACCUCACGCUAUCAGAUGAGCCUAGGUCGGAUUAGCUAGUUGGUGGGGUAAAGGCCUACCAAGGCGACGAUCCGUAACUGGUCUGAGAGGAUGAUCAGUCACACUGGAACUGAGACACGGUCCAGACUCCUACGGGAGGCAGCAGUGGGGAAUAUUGGACAAUGGGCGAGAGCCUGAUCCAGCCAUGCCGCGUGUGUGAAGAAGGUCUUCGGAUUGUAAAGCACUUUAAGUCGGGAGGAAGGGCAGUAAGUUAAUACCUUGCUGUUUUGACGUUACCAACAGAAUAAGCACCGGCUAACUUCGUG
Molecule: ribosomal RNA, 484 nt
Filed under: uncultured bacterium
Lineage: Bacteria
Description: partial 16S ribosomal RNA
Rfam family: Bacterial small subunit ribosomal RNA
Source: RNAcentral